RNAcentral lists this ribosomal RNA (298 nucleotides) under uncultured bacterium. RNAcentral's name for it is "partial 16S ribosomal RNA". It matches the Rfam family "Bacterial small subunit ribosomal RNA", at positions 335 to 630 of the family's 1533-position model. The record is from RNAcentral.
CACCCUACGGGACGCAGCAGUGAGGAAUAUUGGUCAAUGGGCGGGAGCCUGAACCAGCCAAGUCGCGUGAGGGAAGACGGUCCUACGGAUUGUAAACCUCUUUUGCCGGGGAGCAACGGGGUCCUUGCGAAGUCCCAAUGAGAGUACCCGGAGAAAAAGCAUCGGCCAACUCCGUGCCAGCAGCCGCGGUAAUACGGAGGAUGCGAGCGUUAUCCGGAUUUAUUGGGUUUAAAGGUGGCGUAGGCGGGCUGUUAAGUCAUCGGUCAAAUGUCGGGGCUCAACCCCGGCCUGCUGUUGA